UGCAAGUUCCUGAAUUUCUUUGGCACGCAUAACAGAGUGGACAGAAGCAUCUCAAUCUUCACGUGUGGUGGUGUUGGGCCAGGUACAGCCUGCCUACAUGGAUCAUGUCUCCAGAGACACUGCUUACUGCUUUGGGUAAAGCAGUGGCAGUGGAGAAGAAGCAUUUACCUGAAUAUCUGCAAAAUGCAAGCAGAAGGAAAGCUGUGGUUCAAGGUGCUGAAGAAAUGCCAAAGGACAAGCUAAUGCUGCAUGUUGCUAGCCACCUGCUGCAGGAUACUUCACCCAUUUGGAGAACCGUGCAUAGAACACUACCACCUUCAGUCAGCAGGAUGUGUCUGAUACGAGAGCUGCUACCUGCCACCUGAUGUGUCUCACCCUGGGAGACAGGACGAUGAAGCUACAUUUCAAGCAACUGAUAAUGUGUUCGUGAGCAGUUCUCCUGUUGCAGCCCAUUUUUCAAAGGAAGUGUGAAGACCGAUGCUCCAAAGUAACAUUUCUACCCUGAAGUCAAAUCAUCUGCUUAGCAUCUUGCUCUGGAAGGACCCACAACUGCAGCUCUGGCACACAGAGAACAGGACGCCUAAAUGGGGAAUGCUGGUGCUCAUCCACUCCUGCUGCGUGAAUGAACACUGUGAGAAUUCCCUUGACACAGGAAAGUGUUGUGGUAUCAGACUCAACAUUAAUUGGUGUGGUAACAGGAGGGUUCCUCCAGGCUCAAGAAACAUUAUAAAACCCCCCUUCUCCAAAUCAGCUGCUAACAGUCAAUUUAAGAGAGCUUCACAUCUUGUAUUCUGCUGCAUACAUCUUUUUGAAGUGUAAUGCCAAUCCUGACCUCUGUGACACACCAUCUUACAGUUACAUAGUAGGACAGUCAUGUCCUAUCAUGUAAGACACCCUACAAGCUGCUGCAAAUGACAGUGGGGAGACUGUACAGCUCUUGGUGAUGCAAGGUCCUUGAUAUGGACUUAUCACACUGUGAGGUGUAUUGUGGCAGAUGGGGGUUAAACUGUUGGCAAUCCAGUGCCUACAAAAUCUAAGCAUGGUUUCUCUUGCAGGACUUAUCCUCCUAAUUUUCUUGAGAAAGGAUGGAGUCUUUUGUAUAUUACAUAGAAAGAAUAACAGAAGUUCUUUGGAAAAACAAAAUAUAUGCUCUGCGAUUUCUGAAGUGAGAGUACACAGAGUUCAGGUAUGCCAAUUCCAUUUGCAUGUUUCUUUGGAAUGCUGAAAUGAAUACAGCAAAUGAAUAGUAAUGUCAAGACACUGCAAAAACAAAAAGCACUGAAAGAGAAUUCUCGUGGACUGAUGAACUGAGAGCUGAAAUGGGAGCAGCAGAUUUUACAGUGUGAGUGAUGCUAAUUUUUCAGCCUAACAACCAACCAUGCACUGAAGCCCUGCUACUUCUGAGCUGACAUCAUCCAGAUGAGAAAGCUUCUUUCUAGUAACUUAUCAGCCUGGAAAACCAGCCCUGCAGGGUAACACCCAACCCAUGCUUUAAAUGUCAAGGAGAAAAACAUCUUUGUAUUGCCGAGCAGUCACAGCAGCUUCACUUCUGAUUUGAUAGCCUUGGAUGGAAGCAGGUACCAGCAUGAUGAUUCAGAAACCCUUGAAGAUAUAGUCAUAUUUUCAGCAACAGAUGGAUUUAACACUGCAGAUGGAGUGUUAAGAGUGCAGGGGCUGCUGGAGACCUGCCAACAGGAACUACUGACUGCAGAUUUGGGAAGAACGCAGGCAGUUUGGAAAGCGCGGUUUGCAGAGUUGUCUGUGGACUCUGAGAACAUAUUUAAAACCAGAAUUCUCUCUGGAACAUUGACUCUCGCUUGAUGGUAUGAUAGACUUCUACUUUAGAUCUGGAUUGCCUCAUGAGGUUCCCGCUGGCUGGUUGCAAUACCACUGAGAAUGGAAGGUCCAAAGCUGCAGCAGGAGGAAGGAACUUGGAAAAUGCAACUGGUGCGGAAGAGCGAGCAAGGUCACUGGUGACAAGGCUCUGCUCCAUCUGUGCAGGCAUGCUCUUGAACAGAAGCAUUCCAGCAACAUGGCAUUUUGUCACAUUAUUCCAUUCCUUAUAAAUUUCAAUAGCCAGUUAUUUGCCUGCCUUUAGUUGGGAAACAAAGCCCCUCUUUGUGCAGCAACACAACGUGGCUAUCUCAUGUAACGGAGAAAUGAAAAGCAAAUAACGCAGGAAUUGUGCUUGUCUGGGGAAGAGGAAAGCAUUGUCUUGUGACAAGAGGAGAAGAAAGUGGUGUUGCCCAGUGCUUCCGACUGUCAGUCCUAAAAGAUAGAAGAAACCACCAUUUGUGGAGUCUUCUGAUAACACUGACAUUGAAAUCUCCCAUGUCCCCAUUUCAUCAUUCCCAGAGUGGGGAUGAAAAUUAAUCUGCUCUUUUAUGCAAUUCAGCAAAGCAUUUUAAAUUGCUUUUUUCCUUUUUAAGUAUACUAGAUGUCCAACUGCCUACACAGAGCAACAUUCAUGCUGAGGUAUGCAGUGGCGUUGGGUCUGAAUUAUUUGUAAAGGACUUAGAGAAUUCUAAGUGAGAGUCAUUAAAUUACAG
This is a long non-coding RNA of Gallus gallus (chicken), 2549 nucleotides long. The record is from Ensembl. Lineage: Eukaryota; Metazoa; Chordata; Aves; Galliformes; Phasianidae.